ACUUUCACAGAUCAUACAGGCCACACCUGGUAAUGAAGUAAAAAUAGUCCAAUGCCACCAAGUUCAGUAGACUUCUAUGGAAGCUGGAAAGCUUAAGCGCAGGGCCUCAAUAUAAAUGAGAAUGUAGUUCCAAUUUCCAAUUCACAAUGAUAUGCCUCAAGUUACUGGUUAGAGAGAGAGAGUACAGCACUAGGGCUCAAAUUGUUGCCCAUGGACAAAAUGGUUGAAAUGCCAACCAGAUUGGAAAUUUUGCAUGACACUUCACUUACCAGUAUAACAUCUAGAGUGUAAGCUGCUAUAUUAAAUAAGUAUCAACCUGGGGGCUUAUUCAUACUUGCAUUUUCACACUCCAUAGAGAUGAUAGAAGCAAGUCUCUCAUAAACCACAGAGAGCUGCUCAUUUGUAUCCUUCUUCUCAUUGUUGUCUUGUUUAUUUGUAAAAGAUGGAUCAUACCAGUCACGGGGAAUCCCAGCUUCAUCUCUAGCUGAAUAAUUAAAGGGCCCUUUCAAUUCCACAUUGUAGUCUCUCAACAAGUCUUUAAAAGUAGAACAAGGGGCACAGCCCAUUUUCUGACAGACAAAGACAAACCAGUAUACACCGACAGCUACAUGCGCAACUUCCUCAUCUUAGCCACAACUUUAGAUGUUUUAGAGUCUCCAAAACCAAUUAACUUUUUCACUAGCCUUGGCCCAGCAUCAAGUCCUCUUGCCUCCUGGACAAGUGGGAUUGCAGCCAAUCGUGCAGCAACAUUGUCAGACGAUUUUUCACAUUCCCUCCACAACAAAUUAUGAGCAGGCAUAUCUCCAUACUUGAAACCAAGCUCAGCAAGUCUCUGAGAGCACCAUGCGAAAUGGCGACUCUCAUCAUCAGCAACAUGUGCAA
Molecule: unclassified non-coding RNA, 882 nt
Filed under: Hevea brasiliensis (rubber tree)
Lineage: Eukaryota; Viridiplantae; Streptophyta; Magnoliopsida; Malpighiales; Euphorbiaceae
Source: RNAcentral